RNAcentral lists this ribosomal RNA (492 nucleotides) under uncultured bacterium. RNAcentral's name for it is "partial 16S ribosomal RNA". It matches the Rfam family "Bacterial small subunit ribosomal RNA", at positions 29 to 507 of the family's 1533-position model. The record is from RNAcentral.
AGUGAACGCUGGCGGUAGGCCUAACACAUGCAAGUCGAACGGCAGCACAGGAAGAGCUCGCCCCUACGGGUGGCGAGGGGCGGACGGGUGAGGAAUACAUCGCAAACUACUUUGUCGUGGGGGAUAACGUAGGGAAACUGACGCUAAUACCGCAUAUGACCUACGGGAGAAAGCAGGGGAUCUUGGGAGCUUGCGCGAUUGAAUGAGCCGAAGUCGGAUUAGCUAGUUGGCGGGGUAAGGGCUCACCAAGGCGACGAUCCGUAGCGGGUCUGAGAGGAUGAUCAGCCACACUGGAACUGAGACACGGUCCAGACUCCUACGGGAGGCAGCAGUGGGGAAUCUUGCACAAUGGGCGAAAGCCUGAUCCAGCCAUACCGCGUGAGUGAAGAAGGUCUUCGGGUUGUAAAGCCCUUUUGUUGGGGAAGAACAGCAGUGUGUUAAUCCCCCGCUGUUCUGACGGUACCCAAACAAUAAGCCCCGGCUAACUUCGUG